RNAcentral lists this small RNA (292 nucleotides) under Absidia glauca. RNAcentral describes it as "5' ureB small RNA". It matches the Rfam family "5' ureB small RNA". The record is from Rfam by way of RNAcentral. Lineage: Eukaryota; Fungi; Mucoromycota; Mucoromycetes; Mucorales; Cunninghamellaceae.
CAUAGCAGAUUUGGGGACAGAUAAAGUGCACAUGAGCAUCGAUUGCGCCUGCCGUGAAGAUCUUGCCUUCGCCAGCCAAUACCUCCGUCGCCGCCCCCACCGUCAUACCAGGAGUCACUCCGUCCAUCACAUCAGGGUUCCCCGCCUUGCCAAGUCCAACGAUAAUGCCAUUUUUGAUACCAAUAUCUGCCUUGAAGAUUCCAGUGUAGUCCACAAUAAGCGCAUUUGUAACGACCAGAUCCAGCGAAUGAUCCUUGUGUACGUUGGUAGCUUGUCCCAUUCCUUCUCGAAG